This 292-nucleotide ribosomal RNA is filed under the name uncultured bacterium. RNAcentral describes it as "partial 16S ribosomal RNA". It matches the Rfam family "Bacterial small subunit ribosomal RNA", at positions 29 to 334 of the family's 1533-position model. The record is from RNAcentral.
AACGAACGCUGGCGGCAUGCCUAACACAUGCAAGUCGAACGAGACCUUCGGGUCUAGUGGCGCACGGGUGCGUAACGCGUGGGAAUCUGCCCUUGGGUUCGGAAUAACUCGCCGAAAGGCGUGCUAAUACCGCAUAACGUCGCAAGACCAAAGAGGGGGACCUUCGGGCCUCUUGCCAUCGGAUGUGCCCAGAUGGGAUUAGCUAGUAGGUGGGGUAACGGCUCACCUAGGCGACGAUCCCUAGCUGGUCUGAGAGGAUGACCAGCCACACUGGAACUGAGACACGGUCCAG